This 433-nucleotide ribosomal RNA is filed under the name uncultured bacterium. RNAcentral's name for it is "partial 16S ribosomal RNA". It matches the Rfam family "Bacterial small subunit ribosomal RNA", at positions 29 to 507 of the family's 1533-position model. The record is from RNAcentral.
AACGAACGCUGGCGGCAUGCCUAACACAUGCCAGUCGAACGAGACCUUCGGGUCUAGUGGCGCACGGGUGCGUAACGCGUGGGAACCUUCCCUUAGGUUCGGAAUAACUCCCCGAAAGGGGUGCUAAUACCGGAUAAUGUCUUCGGACCAAAGAUUUAUCGCCUUUGGAUGGGCCCGCGUUGGAUUAGCUAGUUGGUAGGGUAAAAGCCUACCAAGGCGACGAUCCAUAGCUGGUCUGAGAGGAUGAUCAGCCACACUGGGACUGAGACACGGCCCAGACUCCUACGGGAGGAAGCAGUGGGGAAUAUUGGAAAAUGGGCGAAAGCCUGAUCCAGCAAUGACGCGUGAGUGAUGAAGGCCUUAGGGUUGUAAAGCUAUUUUAACCGGGAUGAUAAUGACAGUACCGGGAGAAUAAGCUCCGGCUAACUCCGUG